GACGAACGCUGGCGGCGUGCUUAACACAUGCAAGUCGAACGGAAAGGCCCUGCUUGCAGGGUGCUCGAGUGGCGAACGGGUGAGUAACACGUGGGUGAUCUGCCCCUUACUUUGGGAUAAGCCUGGGAAACUGGGUCUAAUACUGGAUAGGACCAUGCUGUAGGUGGUGUGGUGGAAAGAUUAGUUUCGGUAAGGGAUGAGCUCGCGGCCUAUCAGCUUGUUGGUGGGGUAAUGGCCUACCAAGGCGUCGCCGGGUAGCCGGCCUGAGAGGGUGGACGGCCACAUUGGGACUGAGAUACGGCCCAGACUCCUACGGGAGGCAGCAGUGGGGAAUAUUGCACAAUGGGCGCAAGCCGGAUGCAGCGACGCCGCGGGGGGGAUGACGGCCUUCGGGUUGUAAACUCCUUUCAGCCAUGACGAAGCCCUUGUGGUGACGGUAGUGGUAGAAGAAGCACCGGCUAACUACGUG
Molecule: ribosomal RNA, 469 nt
Filed under: uncultured bacterium
Lineage: Bacteria
Description: partial 16S ribosomal RNA
Rfam family: Bacterial small subunit ribosomal RNA
Source: RNAcentral